This is a long non-coding RNA of Trematomus bernacchii (emerald rockcod), 316 nucleotides long. RefSeq lists it as uncharacterized. The transcript has 3 exons. NCBI's taxonomy places the organism in Eukaryota, Metazoa, Chordata, Actinopteri, Perciformes, Nototheniidae. The record is from RefSeq and is a predicted model, not a curated record.
GGUGGGACUUCGCCUCUCUAUACAUGCAAAGAUAAUACAUGUUUGAAUCCUCAUGUGAUCUAUGUCAAGAUAAAAACAAAGAUAACGAAUACAGGAAUUCAAAGUAGCGUUGAGUGAAGAGAACAUCAAUCUGGAGACGCUGAGGGAGCUGUGCUUCAGCGGAAUCCCGUUUGAAGGAGGCAUACGAGCCCUUUGUUGGAAAGUAAAUACACCGUUGUGCACCACAUGCAAUAAUAUGAUUAACCUCUCGUUCUUUUAGCUGCUAUUCAACUCUCUGUAGAUUUGGGGACUAGCACCAGGGGCGGAUCUAGUCAAA